CGUGCGUUUCUGCUUUUUCGAUCAUUCAGUUUCAUCUAUCGAUCGAGAAAACUGUGGUAGCUUCUCAUACUGCUGUUUUAAGUGGGAAUUCAGUAGAGGCAAAGCUAUGAUUGCAACUUAAUGGGUUCUGAAUUUAAUAUUUGUGUAUAUUUGAGGCUGAAUCCGCAUGUGGACUAUUAGUUCUGCUUCUGGUGGGAAGGACCUUUUCUAUGUGGUGUUGAUAUGGUCACUGAUUAGCUUUUGCAUUGCUAAAACAAGAUGAUUUUCGAAUGUGCAGCUCCACCAAGCAAAUUGGACAGGAAAUGGAUGAAGAGUUGCAAGAAGUGAAGAAAUCACUCAUUUUUCCAAGCCUAGCUGUGGAUGCAAGAGGUGGAAUGGAGACAGUAGACACUACGACCAGCAUUACAGCGUGUUUACAUGACAAGAGCGUCAACAUAUAAAGAUGCACUUAAAGGUUUCAUAGUGGGAUAUCAGGAAGGUAUUCACAUGGAGAAAAAACGAGGACGCUAAAUUGCAUAAGGACACUUAUGCAGCCAAAGAACAAUCUUGGCCUCCGAAGUAAAAGUUUAUGUAGUGGGGAAAUGGGGGAAGGAGAUUACAUCGCAAAUGGUCAAUGUUCAACUCAUUGAGGCUCUUGUUUGUAAAAGUGAUUUGGCUUGACAUCAAUUGAACCUCAACGUGUAAGGUCAGGAUCAAAUACAUAAGCCUAUCUAAUGUGCGCCCUCACCAAAUGCAUGUGGGAAGGGAGUUGUCAAUUGAGCUUUUUAGUUGCUUUUUGGAGUAAUUGGUGGCUUGAAGUUAAAUCUGUAGUUUGAUUUCAAGUUUGGAUGGAGGAGGCAGGACUAGACUGAAACAGGUCAGGUGAGCCAGGAUUGGAUGUAAGAUAGUUGAAAAUGACUUCCACCCAAAUAUUGCCUUCUAUUUGGUACUUUAUUCCCCAUAGUAUGUGCUGCAGAUUCUAAAGCAAAAGCAUAUAAUGAUUUAGCCCUUGAAUCUAUCAUCGAGGUGUCUUGCUCGGUGUCUAGAGCCUCCUCUGAUAAAGUUCGUACAUCUUUUGCCAUCUUUAUUUGACGUGCCAUCAGCUUUCCAUUAGGAUAGUUUCAGCACUUGUAGUUCCGGACCCAUAUGUGACUGUGGGUGUUCUUAUUAGGUAUAUGUUGGCGGGGUCAUGGAAUUUGUCUCUUGAUUGAAAUCUGUCAAGCACAUGGGUUUUCAUUUGAGCACAUUGUAAUAAGAAUCUUCUACCAUGUCCGAUAAAUUAUAGUUCUAUCAUCAUCGUGGAUCCUACAUAAAGACUGAAUCAGGAAUUAUUCUAUGUUUCUUUAGUGCAUGUACUGUGAUUUUGGCCUUAUUCUCGACUGCUAGCUUCAAUUAUUAUAU
Solanum tuberosum (potato) is the source of this 1380-nucleotide long non-coding RNA. RefSeq lists it as uncharacterized. The transcript has 5 exons. Lineage: Eukaryota; Viridiplantae; Streptophyta; Magnoliopsida; Solanales; Solanaceae. The record is from RefSeq and is a predicted model, not a curated record.